CUUGCAAAAAAAGAAGCUCUUUCUGGUGCGGGAAGUUCAAAGAGGAGAAAAGCAAGAGCUAAGAAGAAUAAAGCAAUGAAGUCUAUAAAAGUGAAAGAGGAAAUAAAGAGUGAUUCUUCUCCUCUGCCUUCAGAGAAGUCUGAUGAAGAUGAUGAUAAAGUAAGAAUGUGUUUUAGAACAACAACCUUUUCUAUGGAAAGGGAAUAUGGCAUGUUUUUGUGUACUUUACAUUUAAAAUUUAUAUUUUAGGUACCGAAGUCUGUGUGUGUGUGUGUGUGUGUGUGUGUGUGCGCGCGCACGUGCGCACGCACUUAUAGUUCAUAACAGUCUCAAUUAUAGAACAGAAUUCUAACUGUCCAGUAGAUAUUAUAUAGCACUAGAGGCAUAGAGCAAAGGUCCUUCCUUUUCAAACAUUUGCCAAUUUGAUGAGCUUC
Molecule: long non-coding RNA, 434 nt
Filed under: Homo sapiens (human)
Lineage: Eukaryota; Metazoa; Chordata; Mammalia; Primates; Hominidae
Description: non-protein coding lnc-RIOK2-7:1
Source: RNAcentral